This 461-nucleotide long non-coding RNA is filed under the name Androctonus crassicauda. The record is from RNAcentral. Lineage: Eukaryota; Metazoa; Arthropoda; Arachnida; Scorpiones; Buthidae.
CUACAGAGAAGACUAGUUUACUAUAGACUUGUUGAAUGUUUGACCUUGAUGUAAUGAGACUUAAAGGGCAAUUGAAGUAUGAUUGUAAUGUUAUCAAAGUAAAAAAUCACAUUUUCCAAAAAGCAAAUCAGAGAUUUCCUGACAAAGAUGUUUUCAUGAAUAUUUAUUUUUUCGGAAGAAUCCUGAUUAUCCAAAGCAAGGUAGAUCAAGGGAGCUUUGAUAAUCAAAAACACCUACAGAGAAGACUAGUUUACUAUAGACUUGUUGAAUGUUUGACCUUGAUGUAAUGAGACUUAAAGGGCAAUUGAAGUAUGAUUGUAAUGUUAUCAAAGCAAAAAAUCACAUUUUCCAAAAAGCAAAUCAGAGAUUUCCUGACAAAGAUGUUUUCAUGAAUAUUUUUCCAGAAGAAUCCUGAUUAUCCAAAGUAAGGUGGAUCAAGGGAGCUUGGAUAAUCAAAAACA